RNAcentral lists this ribosomal RNA (465 nucleotides) under Vreelandella stevensii. Its description in RNAcentral is "partial 16S ribosomal RNA". It matches the Rfam family "Bacterial small subunit ribosomal RNA", at positions 338 to 795 of the family's 1533-position model. The record is from RNAcentral. Lineage: Bacteria; Pseudomonadati; Pseudomonadota; Gammaproteobacteria; Oceanospirillales; Halomonadaceae.
CCUACGGGGGGCUGCAGUGGGGAAUAUUGGACAAUGGGGGGAACCCUGAUCCAGCCAUGCCGCGUGUGUGAAGAAGGCCCUCGGGUUGUAAAGCACUUUCAGUGAGGAAGAACGCCUGGUGGUUAAUACCCAUCAGGAAAGACAUCACUCACAGAAGAAGCACCGGCUAACUCCGUGCCAGCAGCCGCGGUAAUACGGAGGGUGCGAGCGUUAAUCGGAAUUACUGGGCGUAAAGCGCGCGUAGGUGGCUUGAUAAGCCGGUUGUGAAAGCCACGGGCUCAACCUGGGAACGGCAUCCGGAACUGUCAAGCUAGAGUGCAGGAGAGGAAGGUAGAAUUCCCGGUGUAGCGGUGAAAUGCGUAGAGAUCGGGAGGAAUACCAGUGGCGAAGGCGGCCUUCUGGACUGACACUGACACUGAGGUGCGAAAGCGUGGGUAGCAAACAGGAUUAGAUACCCUAGUAGUC